RNAcentral lists this ribosomal RNA (492 nucleotides) under uncultured bacterium. RNAcentral's name for it is "partial 16S ribosomal RNA". It matches the Rfam family "Bacterial small subunit ribosomal RNA", at positions 29 to 507 of the family's 1533-position model. The record is from RNAcentral.
AGUGAACGCUGGCGGUAGGCCUAACACAUGCAAGUCGAACGGCAGCACAGUAAGAGCUUGCUCUUACGGGUGGCGAGUGGCGGACGGGUGAGGAAUACAUCGGAAUCUACUUUUUCGUGGGGGAUAACGUAGGGAAACUUACGCUAAUACCGCAUACGACCUACGGGUGAAAGCAGGGGAUCUUCGGACCUUGCGCGAUUGAAUGCGCCGAUGUCGGAUUAGCUAGUUGGCGGGGUAAAGGCCCACCAAGGCGACGAUCCGUAGCUGGUCUGAGAGGAUGAUCAGCCACACUGGAGCGGAGACACGGUCCAGACUCCUACGGGAGGCAGCAGUGGGGAAUAUGAGGCAAUGGGCGCAAGCCUGAUCCAGCCAUACCGCGUGGGUGAAGAAGGCCUUCGGGUUGUAAAGCCCUUUUGUGGGGAAAGAAAAGCAGCAGGUUAAUACCCCGCUGUUCUGACGGUACCCAAAGAAGAAGCACCGGCUAACUUCGUG